Molecule: ribosomal RNA, 440 nt
Filed under: uncultured bacterium
Lineage: Bacteria
Description: partial 16S ribosomal RNA
Rfam family: Bacterial small subunit ribosomal RNA
Source: RNAcentral
CCUACGGGGGGCAGCAGUGGGGAAUAUUGCACAAUGGGGGAAACCCUGAUGCAGCGACGCCGCGUGAGUGAAGAAGUAUUUCGGUAUGUAAAGCUCUAUCAGCAGGGAAGAAAAUGACGGUACCUGACCAAGAAGCCCCGGCUAACUACGUGCCAGCAGCCGCGGUAAUACGUAGGGGGCAAGCGUUAUCCGGAUUUACUGGGUGUAAAGGGAGCGUAGACGGUUGUGCAAGUCAGAAGUGAAAGCCCGGGGCUCAACUCCGGGACUGCUUUUGAAACUGUGAAACUGGAGUGCAGGAGAGGUAAGCGUAAUUCCUGGUGUAGCGGUGAAAUGCGUAGAUAUCAGGCUGAACACCAGUGGCGAAGGCGGCUUACUGGACUGUAACUGACGUUGAGGCUCGAAAGCGUGGGGAGCAAACAGGAUUAGAUACCCGAGUAGUC